This 938-nucleotide ribosomal RNA is filed under the name uncultured bacterium. RNAcentral's name for it is "bacterial SSU rRNA". It matches the Rfam family "Bacterial small subunit ribosomal RNA", at positions 1 to 892 of the family's 1533-position model. The record is from RNAcentral.
AUUCGCCCUUAGAGUUUGAUCCUGGCUCAGGAUGAACGCUGGCGGCAUGCCUAAGACAUGCAAGUCGUACGAAGGGGCCCAAUGAAAGGAAUUGAAAUUCAGAGUGCUUGCACAAAGAAUGGAUUUUCUUGGAUUUGGAUUUUCCCCUUAGUGGCAAACGGGUGAGUAACACGUGGGUUACCUACCUCUAAGAUGGGGAUAACAGUUGGAAACGACUGAUAAUACCGAAUGUGCUCUACGGAGUAAAGAAGCCCUUAAAGCUUCGCUUAGAGAUGGGCCUGCGGCGUAUUAGCUAGUUGGUGGGGUAAUGGCCUACCAAGGCGACGAUGCGUAGCCGAACUGAGAGGUUGAUCGGCCACACUGGGACUGAGACACGGCCCAGACUCCUACGGGAGACAGCAGUUAGGAAUAUUCGUCAAUGGAGGAAACUCUGAACGAGCAAUGCCGCGUGAACGAUGACGGCCCUAUGGGUUGUAAAGUUCUGUUGUUUGGAAAGAACGAUAGAUAGAGGAAAUGCUAUCUAUGUGACGGUACCAUUCAAGAAAGCCACGGCUAACUACGUGCCAGCAGCCGCGGUAAUACGUAGGUGGCGAGCGUUAUCCGGAUUUAUUGGGCGUAAAGGGUGCGCAGACGGUUUAUUAAGUCUAAAAUCAAAUCUUGGGGCUCAACCCCAUUCCGUUUUAGAAACUGGUAGACUUGAGUAUGGUAGAGGCAAAUGGAAUUCCUAGUGUAGCGGUGGAAUGCGUAGAUAUUAGGAGGAACACCAGUGGCGAAGGCGAUUUGCUGGGCCAUUACUGACGUUCAGGCACGAAAGCGUGGGGAGCAAAUAGGAUUAGAUACCCUAGUAGUCCACGCCGUAAACGAUGAGUACUAAGUGUCGGGUUACCGGUGCUGAAGUUAACACAUUAAGUACUCCGCCUGAGUAGUACGGUCGCAAG